CUAGUAGAUCAAUCAAACUCUUAGCUCUUACUCCAGGUAUUACUCUUACCAUUUUUUCAUGCAUAAACAAGAAUCAAAAUCGAAAAUUGAGAGGUAAAAUGGUGCAAUUUUCGGAGAAAUUCAGGGGAUUUAUGAACGAUCGAUGGCUAGUUUUUGUAGCUUCGAUGUGGGUUCAGUCUUGUUCUGGAAUUGGGUAUUUGUUUGGAAGCAUAUCUCCAGUGAUCAAGAGUGGUAUGGGUUAUAACCAGAGGCAAAUUGCCUUAUUGGGUGUAGCUAAGGAUUUGGGUGAUGCCAUUGGGUUCCUAGCUGGUAUCUUGUGUGAAGUUUUGCCUAUUUGGGCUGUUCUGUUUAUUGGGGUUGUUCAGAAUUUUGUUGGGUAUGGUGUUGUUUGGUUGAUUGUUGCUCACAAAUUGCCUGCUUUGCCUCUUUGGGUGCUUUGCGUUUUAAUAUUUAUUGGGACUAAUGGUGAGACAUACUUCAAUACAGGAGCGUUAGUUUCCUGUGUACAGAAUUUUCCUAAAAGCCGUGGUCCAAUAGUGGGGAUACUUAAAGGAUUUGCUGGGCUAAGUGGUGCAAUUUUGACACAAGUUUAUGCUAUGUUCAACUUUCCUGAUCAAGCAUCCCUUGUUUUCAUGGUUGCUGUUGGGCCAUCAAUUGUAAUUACCGCUGUGAUGUUCUUGGUUAGACCUGUAGGUGGUCACAAACAAGUUAGACCUUCAGAUCAUUCGAGCUUCCUAUUUAUCUACAGCAUUUGCGUUAUCCUGGCAGCUUAUCUGUUGGCAGUUUUGCUUCUUCAGGAUUUAAGCAGUCUAAAUGAGAAUGUGGUAAUCUUUUUGACAAUUAUCUUACUUAUUUUAAUAGUGCUUCCGAUUAUUAUUCCUCUUUUUUUGGUUUUCUUCUCUGAACCAAGGCCGGUUUUGGAGGAGAGCCUUCUUCCUGAGCCAGAGAAACAAGGAUCCUCUAGAAUGGGGAGUUUCGUUCUCAGCCUCAGUGAGGUAGAAGAUGAGAGGUCUUCUGAGGAAGACACACUCCCACCAUCA
Molecule: unclassified non-coding RNA, 1040 nt
Filed under: Hevea brasiliensis (rubber tree)
Lineage: Eukaryota; Viridiplantae; Streptophyta; Magnoliopsida; Malpighiales; Euphorbiaceae
Source: RNAcentral